UCCGUAGGGUGCAAGCGUUAAUCGGAAUUACUGGGCGUAAAGCGUGCGCAGGCGGUUUUGUAAGACAGGUGUGAAAUCCCCGGGCUUAACCUGGGAACUGCAUUUGUGACUGCAUAGCUAGAGUACGGCAGAGGGGGAUGGAAUUCCGCGUGUAGCAGUGAAAUGCGUAGAUAUGCGGAGGAACACCGAUGGCGAAGGCAAUCCCCUGGGCCUGUACUGACGCUCAUGCACGAAAGCGGGGGGAGCAAACAGG
RNAcentral lists this ribosomal RNA (253 nucleotides) under uncultured bacterium. RNAcentral describes it as "partial 16S ribosomal RNA". It matches the Rfam family "Bacterial small subunit ribosomal RNA", at positions 524 to 776 of the family's 1533-position model. The record is from RNAcentral.